This 421-nucleotide ribosomal RNA is filed under the name Blastocystis sp. RNAcentral's name for it is "partial small subunit ribosomal RNA". It matches the Rfam family "Bacterial small subunit ribosomal RNA", at positions 760 to 1210 of the family's 1533-position model. Lineage: Eukaryota; Bigyra; Opalinata; Blastocystidae. The record is from RNAcentral.
CAUGGGUAGCAAACAGGAUUUGGUACCCUGGUAGUCCAUGCUAUAAACAAUGAAUAUUAGAUGUUUAAAUUUAACAUAAAAAGUUAACACGUUAAAUAUUUCGCCUGGGGAGUAAAACCGCGGGGUUGAAACUCAAAGGAAUUGACGGGAGCUUAUACUUACGGUGGAGCAUGUGGUUUAAUCCGAUAGUCCGCGUGGAAUCUUACCAGUUUUUGACAAUUUAAAGUUAUUAUUUAAAAACAGGUGUUGCAUGGCCGUCGUCAGCUUAUGUUUUGAAAUUUAAGAUAUAAGUACAACCCUUAUUUUAAUUUGCUAAUAUUUAAAAUAUAAAUUUUAUUUUAUAAUUAAAUAUGCACUAUUAAAAAAAUAAUUUAUUAUUAUUUUAAAGGAUGAAGAUAGGUCGUUAUGACCCUUAUAAACU